RNAcentral lists this ribosomal RNA (712 nucleotides) under Pseudomonas sp. RNAcentral's name for it is "bacterial SSU rRNA". It matches the Rfam family "Bacterial small subunit ribosomal RNA", at positions 22 to 729 of the family's 1533-position model. The record is from RNAcentral. Lineage: Bacteria; Pseudomonadati; Pseudomonadota; Gammaproteobacteria; Pseudomonadales; Pseudomonadaceae.
GCUCAGAUUGAACGCUGGCGGCAGGCCUAACACAUGCAAGUCGAGCGGAAGAGAGAAGCUUGCUUCUCAAUUCAGCGGCGGACGGGUGAGUAAUGCCUAGGAAUCUGCCUGGUAGUGGGGGACAACGUUUCGAAAGGAACGCUAAUACCGCAUACGUCCUACGGGAGAAAGCAGGGGACCUUCGGGCCUUGCGCUAUCAGAUGAGCCUAGGUCGGAUUAGCUAGUUGGUGGGGUAAUGGCUCACCAAGGCGACGAUCCGUAACUGGUCUGAGAGGAUGAUCAGUCACACUGGAACUGAGACACGGUCCAGACUCCUACGGGAGGCAGCAGUGGGGAAUAUUGGACAAUGGGCGAAAGCCUGAUCCAGCCAUGCCGCGUGUGUGAAGAAGGUCUUCGGAUUGUAAAGCACUUUAAGUUGGGAGGAAGGGCAGUAAAUUAAUACUUUGCUGUUUUGACGUUACCGACAGAAUAAGCACCGGCUAACUCUGUGCCAGCAGCCGCGGUAAUACAGAGGGUGCAAGCGUUAAUCGGAAUUACUGGGCGUAAAGCGCGCGUAGGUGGUUUGUUAAGUUGGAUGUGAAAUCCCCGGGCUCAACCUGGGAACUGCAUUCAAAACUGACAAGCUAGAGUAUGGUAGAGGGUGGUGGAAUUUCCUGUGUAGCGGUGAAAUGCGUAGAUAUAGGAAGGAACACCAGUGGCGAAGGCGACCACC